RNAcentral lists this small nuclear RNA (104 nucleotides) under Ovis aries (sheep). Lineage: Eukaryota; Metazoa; Chordata; Mammalia; Artiodactyla; Bovidae. The record is from RNAcentral.
GUGCUCCCUUCGGCAGCAUAUAUACUAAAAUGGGAACGAUACAGAGAUUAGCAUGGCCCCUGCGCAAGGAUGACAUGCAAAUUCAUGACGCGUUCCAUAUUUUU